Molecule: long non-coding RNA, 411 nt
Organism: Microtus oregoni (creeping vole)
Lineage: Eukaryota; Metazoa; Chordata; Mammalia; Rodentia; Cricetidae
Exons: 3
Source: RefSeq, a predicted model, not a curated record
GACAGAUCCCAGGAUGCUGGAAUUGUCUCUUGAGAAUUAAAAUGCUUCUGCUUUGCAUAAAGCUGAAAGAAUGGCAUUUAACAAGAGCUGCUAACACAGAGACAUGCCAGCUCCUGCAGCAUCCUAUAGCUCCUCCACGAAGGAAACAGCUGCCUGAGGUCUCCAGGAUGGCAGUAAACCGGAUGCCGCUCCAGUCACACCUCUCGCUGAGUGUGAGCCCACCAACUCCCAGCUCUCCCUUCUCCCACAUCGCCCCAUGCCUGCAGGAAGCGACCAGACUUGAGCUGGCGCCCCUUUAUCCAAGAAGUCUAAAAUGUUUGGUUGAGGGCUGGAGAGAUGGCUCAGUGGUUAAGAGCAUUGCGUGAUCUACCAAAGGUCCUGAGUUCAAUUCCCAGCAACCACAUGGUGGCU